GCGUUAACCAAUACCACGCUGUUGCUUUUGUAUUCGAUUUCUAAUAAUAGCAGCAGCGCCCAUUUCCCUGGUGUUGGCGCAGUAUUCGCGCACCCCGGUUUCGAC
Non-coding RNA from Pantoea dispersa, 105 nucleotides. The record is from Rfam. Lineage: Bacteria; Pseudomonadati; Pseudomonadota; Gammaproteobacteria; Enterobacterales; Erwiniaceae.